Molecule: long non-coding RNA, 14683 nt
Organism: Acinonyx jubatus (cheetah)
Lineage: Eukaryota; Metazoa; Chordata; Mammalia; Carnivora; Felidae
Exons: 3
Source: RefSeq, a predicted model, not a curated record
UUCACCUGUCAUGGGAGAAAGGCUGGAUUGUUUUGCUUCCUAAUCAGAGUCUCUCCUCCUGGACCUCACAAGCCUAAGGCCAUUUGGUACAGUGAUCAGAGGACUGGGUGAGGGCUCCUAGGGGGAGGGAGGGAGUGAAAUCACACUAACUGGGCAUCUACAAUGUGCCCUAUACAUGACGGAUGUUGCUUUAUUUACACCUCAAACUACCCAGUAAAUAAUUAUCUUUAUUUUAUAAAAGAGGAAACUAGGGCUCAGAGAGGUAAAAUGCCUUGUCCAAGGUCACAGAAUUAUUUGAUGGCAGAGCCCGGACUACCUGAUUUCCAUACUGGGCUCUGGGCUUCAUUCUGCAUCCUUUAUCAUAUCACUCUGGCUCUCAAUAGCCUCAUUGUUCUCAUCAAGGUUUAACACAGUGCACCUGACCUUCCUCAGGGACUCCUAGGAAAGCCUGUGGGAGAUGGUCCUGCACUUUCUGGUAGGCAGCAGCACCAGGCCCCUUUUAGGAUGCUGGUUCCCAUACCUUAAAUGAAGUUUCGCAAGGCAAGUCUCUCUCAGGGUUCAGAACUAAGGAAAUAACUUCUUUCCUAUUGAAAUUCUCAGCUUCCUUAAUUGGCAAAAGCCAAUCAUCUUGGGGGAUGAGGAUUAUAAACUUAGCAUCUGGCUCACUCUGCUGGCUGAUGGGAACUAGGUAGUCCGAUCCUUAGAGGAGGCAACAAACAAGAGGAAUAUGAUGGAAACCUUUUGAAUUUCUGUCUAUUUCUGGCUUGUAAUUUGGCGCUGGUCUAGGGCUGGACAGAGCUGCAGAGGGGGUGGAAAGGGAAUAACUAUUUAACUGUGGGGACCAGCAAUGCCCAAUUCAGCUUUUAGAGCUACAGGAAGGCUAAAGUUCAGGAGGGGAAGCAUUUCACAGAAAUUUCUGCAAUUCUUCAGAUGAGCGAGGGAAAUGACUUACUUUAUGGCAUCCCAGAAGGCAAGUCUAAGACCACUGGCUAUGGGAGCGGACUGCUCUCAACGUAAGGAAAUGCUUCCAGAGGCAGAGGCACAAGAUGUGUAUUCUAGGCUUGGCACAGCCAUCCAUGACUCCUACAGGUGGCUACUACUUGCAUGGAUAGUGGCUUGGGGGGUUAUAACAUUUAUUUUUGAAGAUUUUAUUUUUAAGUAACCUCUACACCCAACUUGGGGCUCGAACUCACAACUCUUAGUUUUAUGCUUUACCAACUGAACCAGCCAGGCACCUCAUAACAUAUUUUUGUAUCUGUUGCUUCAUCCAGUCCUCUCAGCAGCUCAGAGAGGCUUAGAGUUGAGAAGAUGAAGCUCAGAGAGUGAAGCUCUUGCCCAAGUUCAGGUGGCUGUGGAAAGUGACGAAGCCAGGCUUAUCCCUGGGUCUUCAGACUGAUUUCUCCCUCACUUCUCCACAGCUCCUUCUUCAUGGGGUAGGACUCCAUGACAUUCACAUAGUAGCUUCUACCUACUCUGACACCUGGGUCCCUGUGACCCUAGAUGCGUCUGUAUGUAACAGACAUGGAAAGAAGACAAUGCCACUACUACAGACCUAAGGGAAGGAAUCCAUGAGUGGGAAUGGGUUCUCCCUCCCCAGGUCAAUUUGCAUGCAUUAAAAUAGGCUCCACUUCCUCUGGGCUUGGCAGUCCUGCCCUGGAAGCUUACCUUCCGAGAGUCCUUCCGAGGCAUCAAAAUAUGAUGCUUAGCCUUUACUAUCUUCCUUCGAAUCAAGUGGAUCCCCAGGUGCUCCUGGAGGAAGGUUUUCAGCAAUGGAGGGACCCCUGGAGCCACGAUGGGGAAGUGAGAUUACUAUUAGCGGAUAUUUACUGGGAGCUUCUUAGGUGUCCAGCACUGUUCAAACUGCUGGGCAUGUAUUAACUUACUUCAUUUUCAGACCAACCACAGGAGGUAGGUACCUAUAUUAUUCCCAUUCAAUACGUGAGGAAACUGAGGCACAGACAGGUUAAGAAAUUUGCCCAAGAUAACAAGGAUAGUGAAAAGCAAGGACGAGAACUCUGCUGGUGUCACUCCAGGACCCAGGAUUCUAAAGUGCCAACAAGAUGCAGCUGCUAAUGCAGCACCCAGUAUAUCCAGGAUGCUCUGGGUGGGAGGGCCCUGUACCCCUCCCCAACUGGGAAGUAGGAAAUGAGGUCACAGCAGAACUGCUCUACAAAGCAGGGUGUUACUUAAAGAUCUCACACAGGAUCUAGAUAAUUCUGUAUUCCAUUCCCUGCUCUGCCUCUUUAUUGCUGUGGGACUUUGAUUAGGUUAUGAACCUCCUGGAUCCUCAGCUUCCUUCACUGUGCACGGGGACAGUGAUGCCUGCCACACAGGGCUGCUGUCAGGUAAGCUGGUACAGAAGCAGGUGCUCGGCAGUAUCUGUGCUUCUCUCCAUCUCCAAAGAACCCAAGGCUGGACAUUGAUGAGGUGGGGCUAAGGGGUGCCCAUGCUGCCCCUGGGCACCAGGACGGGGGCGCAGCCUUGCAGGUACCAUACCUCGUGUAUGCGCCACCAGAGGGUUGUUAUGAAAGAUGAGCUCGCAGAGAGACGGGAAGAGAGCUACCGGCAGGAUGGCAUCUUCCUUCGCGAUCUGUGAGGAAGGUAGGGAAAAGCUUCAGGUCGACACUGCCCCCCCUCUGCCCAGGUGCUGCCAGUCCCCACACUGUAGGCCGCAUGCUUGCUAGGGCUGAGGUGGAGCCGGCUUAGUUAUGCUGCUGUGCUCGGACUCAGUUCCGGGCAGCGUCUGUCCCUACGACAUCACCUGCUCACACCCAGAGGACCCUGCCCCACCCCUGUCCAAAAUUCCACAUCACAGUUUCUUGUUUGAAAGUUAAGAACUGUUUUCCUUUCUCCACACCAGAAAUGUAGCCCAGACCAAGUAAUGAAGAUGUUGGUGACAAAACAGGGACAAACACAUAUAGCACUUGUCUCACAAGGACUCUGGAAGGUUGGCAGGGCAUUGACUCUGACUUCAGGAUACAAUCUGUCUGACACUUCACCUUCCUCAGUGCAACCUCUACACACCUCAGUCUGUUGAUAGCAUUCUUGAUGAUGUCUUUCGUUAAGGCCUGUCCUGGACACUGAUCUGGGGAGGGACAGGGGGCAGGCAGUCAGGGGGACCCAUUCAUCUAAAGGAUAAGCAGAGCCAGUAAGGAAGACUUCAUGGCUGUCUGUGGCCCAAACGCUGCUCUAUCCCCACGAGGCCGGCCUCUGAAGGGCAAAAAAUACUCAACCUUUGUUGAGCAGAGUGGCUGGAACAUCCUUAGGGAGGGUGUCUAUUAGCAACAGAACAGUAUCAGAGGGGCCAAGAGUCGGGCAGUGGCCUUUCAGAUGCCUGGGUAUCUAACGGCAGACUCAGGACCUAUGGAAGACAAUUAAGGCCUGAGGGCUGCGAGAGAGAGGGCCCUUCAGUUUAUCUUUCUCUGGAGCCCCACUUUAUUUAUUCUUUCAUUUGUGUUCAUCCAAUCAAUAAGUAUUACUGAAUGCCUCCAUAUGCCAAGCACUGGGUUGGAAAUGAGCAAAACAGCUAGAACUCCUGUCCUCAGGAAGCACUGCCUGGUGGGAAACACUCAUUGAAGAAGUAAUAACACGAAAGAGGAUAGUUCUGAAGCUGUGAUUAGUGCCACAAGAGAGGGUGUGUGAAGUCCUCAGGUGAUUUGUUCCAAUCAGGGAAACAGGGAAGGCUUCCCUGAGAUCCAAAGUAUGGGGAGGGGGAAAUUUGUGAGUGCAGUGGAGAACAGACUGUACGGCACAGAAUCCUCUGUAUUAACCAAAACAGUUUCCUCUACUUUCUGGGCACACAGCUAGACUGUCUUCUAGCCUCCUAGGCAGCUAGAUGUGGUCACAGGACUCUAUUCUAGCUGAUGCAACCUAGGUAGAAGGGAUCAUUUCUGGGCAGAGCCCAUUUGAAACCUCCUAUGUGAUCCUCUACAUUUCUCAUUCCCCUCCUCUGCUCAGCCAUCUAUCCACCAGAUGCAGAGGAGCCAAUGAAAUCCUCUUAAGGCCCUAUGGGAUUACAGAACCAUAGCCAGAAGGGACCUGGGUCUCCGAAAGACCUGGGAGGCCACCAGCCCAUCUGGGAUACCUACAAUGGAUUUUAUGAAAGAAAUAGACUUUUACUGUGUGAAGUCAUUGAGAAUUUAAAGUUUAAAGUUUGUUGCAGCAGCUCAUGGUACGUGUUCUACCUAACACAGAGAGGAAGUGCUCCAUGCAGAGAGCAAUGUGUGAGAGGCAUCACAGCAAGGAGGAGGAAAGCCUGUUAGAGGGAUAUAAAGAAGGCCAGUGUGAUUAACAGCAGACAGAAAAUGAGGCUGGACAUGCAAAUAGGGGUCAGACAAAAGCUAGAAAGAUCUUGGUCUUUGAGAACUUAAUAUGUGGAUUUUCAGAAAUAUGAGGACCUAAAUAUGACAAGAGUUGGUAACAGGUUAGAUAUGCAUGGUGAGGAGGGAUGUAGAGGAGAGAGAAAUAUCAAGGAUGACAGCCACAUUUUGGCUUCAGUGAGCCACGUGCAUGAUGGAACUAUUCUCCAAGAUACGGGGCAAGGAAAGAAACUCAAAUUUGAAGCUCAUUAAUUCACUUGGAUAUGUGUACUAUGGAGGUACCUUUCAGACUUCCCAGUAGAGAUUCAGGUAGGCAACGAAUACCCUAGUCUAGAGUACAUAGGGUACAAGGGGUCUGUACUGGAAUUAUAAAUUUGUGAGCCACUAUUAAUUGGCCCUGUGGGUACGUGAAGCCAUCCCUAGGGAGAGAGUACAGAGUGAUUAAAAGAGAAGGGACAAGGAGUAGGCCUUAAGCAACUCUAACAUUUGGUCAUCUAGAUCUAGACCAGGACUUGGCAAACCUUUUCUGUCAAGGACCAGAGAGUAAAUGUUUCAGGCUUUAUAGGCCUUAACAUGUCAGUUGCAACUACUCAACUGUGCUGUUGUAGCACAAAAACAGCCAGAGACAACUCAUAAAUAAGUGUGGUGGCUCUUUUUCAAUAAAACUUUAGUUAUGGACUAUGAAAUUUGGAUUUCAUGUAAUUUUAAUAUGUCAUGAAGUAUUAUCCUUCUUUCGAUUUUUUUCAACCAUUUAAAAAUAUAAGAAUCAGCCUUAGCUUGAAGGCUGUACAAAAACCAAGGUCAGCAGAUAACACCUGUGGGCCAAAUCUGUCUCCCCCCAAUCUGUUUAAUAAAGUUUCAUCAGAACACUGUCAUGCUCCUUGAAAAAAGCAUAGAAGACAGCAGAGAAUGUAUUGCUGCAGAGCUCAAAGACCUAAGAAAUAGUCAUGAUGAAUUAAGAAAUGUUGUAAAUGAGAUGCAAAAUAAACUAGAUGCAGUGACAGCAAGGAUGGAAGAAGCAGAGGAGAGAAUAGGUGAAACAGAAGAUAAAGUUAUGGAAAAUGAUCAAGCUGAAAAAAAGAGGGAAAAGGAAAUUAUUGGACCAUGAGGGGAGAAUUAGAGACCUAAGUGAUUCGUUGAAACAAAAUAUAUCCAUAUCAUAGGAGUUCCAGAAGAAGAAGAGAGAAAGGGGCAGAAGGCUUAUUUGAGCAAAUUAUAGCUGAGAACUUCCCUAAUCUGGGGAAGGAAACAGGCAUCCAAGUCCAAGAGGCACAGAGAACUCCCUUCAAAAUCAACAACAGGUCAACACCACAAUGUAUCAUAGUGAAAAUAAUAAAAUACAAAGAUAAAGAGAGAAUUCUGAAAGCAGUGAGGGACAAAUGGGCCUUAUCCUACAAGGAUAGACACAUAAGGAUAGUAGUAGACCUGUCCACUGAAACUUGGUAGGCCAGAAGGGAGUGGCAGAAAAUAUUCAGUGCUUUGAACAGGAAAAAUAUUCAGCCAAGAAUCCUUUAUCCAGCAAGGCUAUCAUUCAGAAUAGAAGGAAACAUAAAGGCUUUUCCAGACAAAAACUAAAGGAGUUUGUGUCCACUAAACCAGCCCUGCAGGAGAUCCUAAGAGGGACUCUGUGAGCAGAAAGGAGCAAAGACUACAAAGGACCAGAGACAUCAUCACAAGCAUGAAAUCUACAGAUAACAUAAUGACACGAAAUCCGUAUCUUUCAAUUAAUCACUCUGAAUGUAGAUGAACUAAAUGCCCCAAUCAAAAGACACAGGGUAUCAGAAUGAAUUAAAACAAACAAACAAAAAGCAAGAUUCAUCUAUAUGCUGACUACAAAAGACUCAUUAUAGACCUGAGGACAGCUGCAGAUUGAAAGUGAGGGGAUGGAGAACAAUCUAUCAUGCUACUGGACAGCAAAAGAAAACCAGAGUAGCCAUACUUCUGUCAGACAAGCUGGAUUUUAAAACAAAGACUGUAAUAAGAGAUGAAGAAGGGCAUUCUAUCAUAAUUAAGGGGGAUAUCCAUCAAGAAGAGCUAACAAUUGUAAAUGUUUAUGCCCCCAAUGUGAAAGCACCCAAAUAUAUACAUCAGUUAAUCACAAACAUAAGUAAAUGUAUAGACAUUAAUACCAUGAUUGUAGGGGAGUUUAAUGCUCCACUUACAACAAUGGACUGAAUGACACAUUGGACCAGAUGGACUUAACAGAUAUAGUUAGAACUUUUCAUCCAAAAGCAGAAUACACAUUCUUCUUGAGUGCACAUGGAACAUUCUCCAAAAAGAUCACAUACUGGGUCACAAAAUAAAAAAGGAUUGAGAUCAUACCAUGCAUAUUUUCAGAUCACAACACUAUGAAACUUGAAAUCAACCACAAGGAAAAUCUGGAAAGCCCCCAAAUACAUGGAGGUUAAAGAACAUCCUACUAAAGAAUGCAUGGGUCAACCAGGAAAUUAAAGAAGAAAUUAGAAAAUAUAUGGAAGAAAUGAAAAUGAAAACAUGACAGACCAAACCCUUUGGGAUGAAGUAAAGGCAGUUCUAAGAGGAAAAUACAUUGUAAUUCAGGCCUAUCUCAAGAAGCAAGAAAGGCCCCAAAUACACCACCCAACCUUACACCUAAAGGAACUAGAAUAGAAAGGAGCAGCAAAGAAAGCCCAAAGCCAGCAGAAGAGAAAUAAUAAAGACUAGAGCAGAAAUAAACAAGAUAGAAUCCAAAAUCAAACAAACAACCCAGAACAGAUGAAUGAAUCUUAGAACUGGUUUUUUGAAAGAAUAAACAAAAUUGAUAAAUGCCUAGCCAGACCUCUCAAAAAGAAAAGAGAGAGGACCCAAAUAGAUAAAAAUCACGAAUGAAAGAGGAAAAAUCAUAACCAACACUAGAGAAAUACAAUUAUUAGAGAAUACUAUUAAAAAUUAUAUGCCAACAAAUUUGAAAAUCUGGAAGAAAUGGACAAAUUCCUAGACACCCACACACUACCAAAACUCAAAAGGGAAGAAACAGAAAAUUUGAACAGGCCCAUGACCAGCAAAGAAAUUGAAUGGAUUAUCAAAAACCUCCCAACAAAUUAAGAAUCCUGGGCAGGAUGGCUUCCCAGGGGAAUUUUACCAGACAUUUAAAGCAGAGUUAAUACCUAUUCUUCUCAAGGUGUUUCCAAAAAACAGAAACAGAAGGAAAGCUUCCAGACUCAUUCUAUGAAGUCAGCAUUGCCUUGAUUCCCAAACCAGACAAAGACCCCACUAAAAAGGAGAAUUACAGGCCAAUAUCCCUGAUGAAUAUGGAUGUAAAAAUUCUCAACAUGAACUAGCAAAUCAAAUUCAACAGUACAUUAAAGGAGUCAUUCACCAUGAUCAAGUGGGAUUCAUUCCUGGGCUGCAGGGCUGGUUUAAUAUUUGCAAAUCAAUCAAUGUGAUACAUCACAUUAAUAGAAGAAAGAAUAAUAACCAUAUGAUCCUGUCAAUAGAUGCAGAAAAAGUAUUUGACAAAAUAUAGCAUCCUUUCUUAAUAAAAACCCUCAAGAAAGUCAGGAUAGAAGGAAUAUAACAUCAUAAAAGCCAUAUAUGAAAGGCACACAGCUAAUACCUUCCUCAGUGGGGAAAACUGAGAGCUUUCCCCUGAAAUCAGGAACAUGACAGGGAUGUCCACUCUCCCCACUGUUGUUUUGUUUAACACAGUACUGGAAGCCCUAGCCUCAGCAAUCAGACAACACAAAGAAAUAAAAGGCAUCCAAAUUGGCAAAGAGGUCAAAUUCACUCUUUGCAGAUGACAUGAUACUCUACGUGGAAAACCUGAAAAGACUCCACCAAAAAACUUCUUCAACUGGUAUAUGAAUUCAGCAAAGGUGCAGGAUAUAAAAUCAAUGCAUAGAAAUCGGUUGCAUUCCUGUACACCAAUAACAAAGCAACAGAAAGAGAAAUCAAGGAAUCGAUUCCAUUUACAGUUGCUCUAAAAUAUAUGAAAUACCUAGGAAUAAACCUAACCAAAGAGGUAAAAGAUCUGUAUGCUGAAAACUAUGGAAAACUUAUGAAAUAAAUUGAAGAAGACACAAAGAAAUGGAAAAAUAUUCCAUGCUCAUGAAUUGGAAGAACAAAUAUUGUUAAAGUGUCGAUACUACCCAAAGCAAUCUACACAUUCAAUACAAUCCCAACAAACAGCACCAGCAUUCUUCUCAAAGCUAGAACAAAUAAUCCUAAAAUUUGUACGGAACCAUAAAAGACCCCAAAUAGCCAAAGUUAUGUACGUUGAAAAAGAAAACCAAAGCUGGAGGCAUCACAAUCCCAGACUUUAGCCUGUGUUACAAAACUAUAAUCAUCAAGACAGUAUGGUACUGGCACAAAAACAGACACACAGAUCAAUGGAAUAGAAUAGAGAACCCAAAAAUGGACCCACAAAUAUACUGCCAACUAAUCUUUGACAAAGCAGGAAAGAGUAUCCAAUGGAAAAAAGACAGUCUCUUUAGCAAAUAGUGGUGGGAGAAUUGGACAGCAACAUGCAGAAAAAUGAACCUGGACCACUUUCUUACACCAUACACAAAAAUAGAUUCAAAACAAAUGAAAGACCUAAAUGUGAGACAGGAAACCAUCAAAAUCCUACAGGAGAUAACAGGCAACAACCUCUUUGACUUCAGCCACAGCAACUUUUUUUUUUUUUUUUUAGCAACUUCUUAUUUGACAUGUCUCCAGAGGCAAGGGAAACAAAAGCAAAAAUGAACUAUUGGGACCUCAUCAAGAUAAAAAGCUUCUGUAUGGCGAAGGAAACAAUCAACAAAACUAAAAGGCAACUAAUGGAAUAGGAGAAGAUAUUUUCAAAUUACAUAUUUGAUAAAGGGUUAGUACCCAAAAUCUACAAAGAACUUACCAAACUCAAUACCCGAAAAACAAAUAAGCCAGUGAAGAAAUGGGCAGAAGACAUGAAUAGACAUUUUUCCAAAGAUGACAUCCAGAUGGCUAACAGAUACAUGAAAAGAUGCUCAACAUCACUCAUCAUCAGGGAAAUACAAAUCAAAACCACACUAGGAUACCACCUCAUGCUGGUAGAGAGACUAAAAUGAACUCAGGAAACAACAGAGAUUGGUGAGGAUGUGGAGAAAGGGGAACCAUCUUGCACUGUUGGUGGGAAUGCAAACUGGUGCAGCUACUCUGGAAAACACUGUGAAGGUUCCUCAAAAAAAUAAAAAUAAAAAUGCCUACCUUAUGGCCCAGCAAUAGCACUACUAGGAAUUUAUCCAAAGAAUUCAGGAGUGAUGAUUUCGUAGGGGUGCAUGUACCCCAAUGUUUACGGCAGCACUAUCAACAAUAGCCAAAUUAUGGAAAGAGCUCAAAUGGAAUACUACUCAGUGACGAAAAAGAACGAGAUCUUGCCAUUUACAACAAUCUGGAUGGAACUGUAGGGUAUUAAGCUAAGGGAAAUAAGUCAUUCAGAGAAUGACAGAUAUCAUUUGAUUUCACUCAUAUGUGGAAUUUGAGAAACUUAACAGAUUACCAUAGGGAAAGGGAAGGAAAAUUAAGAUACAAACAGAGAGGAAGGCAAACCAUAAGAGAUUCUUAAAUACAGAGAACAAACUGAGGAUUGAUGGGGGUUGGAGGUUGAGGAGUGCAGAAAAUGGGUGAUGAGCAUUGAGGAGGGCACUUGCUGGGAUGAGUCCUGGGUGUUGUAUACAAGUGAUGAAUCAUGGAAAUCUACUCCUGAAGCCAAGACUUCACUGUAUGUUAGCUAACUUGACAAUACAUAAAUUUAAAAAAAAAACAAAACAUCCAUUUACAUACUGCCUUUGUUCUACAAGGACAGAGUUGAGUAGUUGGGACAGAGUAUUAUAUUUAUCUGGCCCUUUGUAGAAAACACUUGCUGACUUCUUAUCUAGACUCUAGAGAAGGAGGGAAAGGGGGAUGAAGCUACAAAGAAGCCUAAUAUGUGUUCAUAAAUAACUAUAAAAUGGUGGCUAAAGUGGGUACAGAGUCUCUUAUAUGCAAAACAGGUGGUCAAGAAGCAGUCACAACAGAAUGGGGGAGGGAAAAUUAAAUUGAAUUUUGUCAGGAUGCAAAAUUCCACCUAUCCAAAUCAGAUGACUAAAAAGUUGAAGAAAGUUAUAAUUAAAACUGGUAGAAAGCUGAAAGAUACCCAAGGCAUGUAUGUCAUAUUUUCUGUGAAAUUGAGUCCCAGCUAAAAGAUAUGGGUUUGGGAUUCUGGCUGAUAUAGUGAGAAGAAUUUGGCCACCAGAUAGGAUAGCUAGCCUAUCCCCACAAGGUGAGUUGAAUGCCCCUGAAAAUCAACUCGGGCUCCAGGGACAACUUAAAGUUUCUAUCCAAUUUCAUUGGGUUAAGGCAAAUAGAGCUUAAUCUGUCAAAUUUAUGAACUAAGGAAAUAUUAGUUAAAGGUUGAGUUAAAGUGAUUGCUUUACUUUUGGCACAAAACUUACUAGAUUACUGAGUGGAUAUUCUAGAUGUUUAAGUUCUGUUUGAAUGCAGAACUGGUUUUAAAAUUUGUAACUGUAAUAAAUUGAAUAUUAAUUUCAACACAGGUAGCAUGAGUAUUCUUUGACAUGAUCAAAACAUCAUUCAUUUAUCAAACUUACUGAGUAACUAUCAUGUAUCAGGUGCUAUUCUAGAUGAUGAGGAUAUAGAUGUAAGCAAAACAAAGUCCUGGCUCUCAAACAAACCUACAUUCUGGCAGUAGACAACUGGUAAUAAAGAAAAAGAUAUAUAAUAUGCUAGGUGAUAAUUAUCAUAAAGAAAAAUAUAAUUUAAAACUCAAGUGAGCAUGUAGAAAAUGUAUGCAUGUAUUGCUCCUCUCCUUAACAACAAGAAAAAAGACAGAAUAGCCUAUAACAUCAUAACUUUCUUGCAUCUACCAGAGAGCUAAGGUCUCAGGGCAAUCACGUGGCCUGAAACCUAAGGAAAGACAAGCACCUCCAAGGAGAGAUGGGACACAGGACUGGCUCACAUGUGGCAGAACACGGGAGGAAGAGAUGACAAGUGCUAUACAAGCAAUUGGGAAGAAAUCAGCUCACCAUUUUAAUGGCCCACUAAAGGCUAAGUGUGGGCUAGAGUAGAACUUCUGAGAGCUACAGACAGAAGGAGAAUUCAUGGCUGUUUGUACGCAAAAGACUGGACCCAGGGAAUGAGACUGGAGAGAGCCGUCUCCAGGGUGUGGGCCUGGAGGAAGAGAGCAGCUGCCAAGGUCAGAAAGGCAGCCAACCCUCUGCCUGGUGAACAAAGGCCUUAAGUUUCUGAGGAAGGUCAGAAAAACCUGUUGGGCCCAGGGUCCUACAUCUGGGGGAGGGAAAAAAUUAAAACCCGCUGUUCUGAGAUUGAGGCAGGAAACCAACCUGGGCCCAUGACCUGAGAGGUCUCCGACUGCUUGCAGGGGACUGGAUCGCUAAGAAGGUCCAUCCUACAGACACAGGAACCCAGCAUCCUCUUAAGACUGGGACUGGACCCUCCCCUUGGCCCUCAACCACCAGAAGAGCAAGCACUAAGUAACCAGCACAAGCAGUCUCCUGCUGGGUGAGAGGAACACAAGUGUGGAGAUAAUCCAUGUGAAGUGUAGGAGCACAGGGAAGGCUGUGAGCUGAGUACAGAAUAGGAACACAGAGAAAAACACUCUGGCCUCCCAGCAAGACCCAACUAUAUGCUGUCCCAAAGAGAUGGACUGGAAAUACAAAGCUAUAAGGAGGUUGAAAGUAAAAGGAUAGAAAGAGACUAUGCAAUUAGCAAGCAUUAAGAAAGCUGUGUAUCCAUGUUAAAAUCAGACAAAACAGCAAGACAAGAAAUUUUGUUCAAGGCACAAGGAGACAAGUCAUAAUAAUAAAAGGAUCGACACAUCAGGUAGAGAUAAAAAUUCUAAAUGUUUAUGUACAUGAUAGUAAAACUUCGAAAUACAUGAAGCAAAAACUGACAGAAUUAAGGAGAGAAAUAAACAGAUCCACAAUCUAACUGGAGAUUUUAACAUGCUGCUCUCGAUAACUGAUAAAAUGAAGAGACAAUAGUACAGAAAUGAUCUCAGUGAUACUACCAACCACCUUAAUGUAAUUGAUAUUUAUAGAACACUAUCCCCCAAAGUGCAGAAUACACAUUUUUUUUAAGUGCAUAGAGAACAUGCAUAUAGGAUGGGACACACAACAAGUUUCCAUAGAUGUCAGAAGAAUGAAAUCUUGCAGGUUAUGUUAUCUGACCACAACAGAAUUAAAUUAGAAAUAAUAAAUAUGAGACAUCUAGAAGAUCUCCAUAUAUUUGGAAAUUAAGCAUCUCACUUACCUAAACCAAUGGGUAAAUAAAGAAAUCAAAACAAAAAGUGAAAAAGUUUAACAAAAUGAAAAUAAAAACACAAAUUACCAUUUGUAGGAUGCAGCUAAAACAGUGCUUAGAGAAGAAGUUUAUAGCUUUACAUGCUUAUAUUAAAAAGAAGAAAAAGGUCUAAAUCAAUUAUCUAAAAUUACGCUAUAGAGGUAAACAAAAAAGAGGAGCAAACUAAACUCAUGUGAAUAGGGCAGAAAUCAAGUUAUGAGCAGAAAUUAAUGAAAUGGGAAAAGAGAUAAGUAGAGAAAUCCAGUGAAACCAGCAGCUGGUUUUUUUUUAAGUCAAAAAAAGGGAUAACUUCUAACUAUUUUGGAUCAAUAAAAGACACAAAUGACCAAUUUCAAGAAUGAGAGGGGACCCAUAAUACAUCUGUGGGCCACUGAUUUUUGACAAGGGUGAGAAGACCAUUCAAUGGAGAAAGAAUAGUCUUUUCAAUAAAUGGUGCUGAGGAAACUACAUAUCCACAUACAAAAGAAUGAGGUUUGACCCCUAUCUCACACCACAUCUCAAGAUUAACUCAAAAUGAAUCAAAGACCUGAAUUUCAAAGCUAAAAUUAUAAAACUCUUAGGAAGAAACACUUGAAGAAUUUGGCUGUACCAACUGCUUGCCUUAGAAGGAGUGUAAGCAGAGUUUCUUCAAAGUUGCCUACACUUCAGACUUGAGUAGAGCUCAGUUGGUGGGGUUUACAGAAGUCAAACAGAACAUGGAUAUUGGAAAAAUAUGUUACCAUAAAACAUGCAGGAGAAACAUGUUAAAUGCCUCCCAUGGACUUUACAUCUGCUGUUCCUAUAAGCUAGAAUAUUUCUCACUUCACUCCUCCUCACACUUCACCUCAUUAAACUGAUAAAGCACCGCUCUCCCAAGAACCUUCCCUGAUCCCAAAUACUAGGUUAGACUACCCCUGUCAUAUACUUCAUAGCACUUUGAAUUUCUUCAUAACACUAUGCAUGCUUAUACUGAGACUAUUUGUGCUAUAUCAGUCUUCCCUAUGGGUGACAAGCUCCAAAAGGCAAGCGGCCCAAUCUUUCUUUGAGCUGCUGUAUACCUAGUAUCUAGCAUAGAGCCUGGCAUGUGGUAUUAGAUAAAUAUCUGGGACUGAAUGGAUGGACUUCUGCCUUGGCCUACACUCUCCACUUCUCCCACCCUGAGAAUUCCUGAGCUCACAUAUCUGUAAUGCAGGGAACUCUAAGGCUGGCCUUCAGGCCAGAGCAGAUCACAUCCCAUCCUCCCAUCUGUGCCCCUGAAGAAAUAAGCAGAGAGCAGAGAGUCACCUUGUUGUAGGCCAGGCUAAGGUACCUCAGCUCUGGAAAGGGCGGGGCCAGCAUCUGGUUUCUGGCCUUCAGUGACUUCACGGGAAGAAUCUUGAAUAUGGGAGGAAGUGCACAUACCUUGGUUUCCUUAGAAGGAAAAAAAGGUCUAUGUCAAAAUGUCCCAAAGAUAAGAAGCUGAAUGCUGCCAAGACAUUCUAGAGAGGGUUGGCCAAAAGAGGCAUCUAGGGUCACAACGGGAGAUGUUACCAAGGGCCCAGAGUUCUGGCUUCAAGUUCUCUGAGGUCACAUGAUGAGUUGAUUCUCUGGCCCCUAAAGUUCCAGUUUCAAGUUCUAUGAGGCCAAAUGACAAUACAGCAGUGGUGUAGGCUUAGAGGUUUUUUGCCCCUACCUCUCACUUUCUGCCCUUUGGCAGCUUAUUCUGAAAUGGCCCUUCUCUACAGUUGGGCUAAAAUUUCUGCAAAUGGCAAAAGGACAGUGAACAUUAGCAGAGCACCUACUUGGGGUCAAGUGUUUUGUGCCCUCCUAGGCUCUAAAUUGUACCGAGUGGGACAGAGCCCUGCAAUUCAUCCUCGCUCUCUUGGAACCCGAAGGCCACCAUGUUGUAAAGAAGUCCUUAAUAAAUACUUCAUGUAGAUGCCAAGCCAUACCAGUUGUCCAUGAACCCAGGCCCCAGGGAACCAGCCAGCUGCAUGAAUGAGCCCUGGAAAAACCAGCAGAACCACCUAACCAGCCCAAACAUUUGUGAGAAUAAAUUGCUAUUGUUUAAAGUAAUUGUUGGGUUGGUUUGUUAUAUGCCAAUUGUUAAC